ACACGCCUGGGGAAAAGAAGUAGAUACCAUGUCAGUGGUCACCCAACAGCCUGGAAUUGCCCCAUCUGGAGUUAUAUCGGCUACUGGAGAAUGGAGCUCCAAGCUAUGUGACUGCUGUGAGGAUUGUGGCAUCUGUCUUCUUGGGCUUUGCUGCCCAACAUGCUUUGGAUGCUAUGUGGCUAGUAAAUAUGGAGAACCCUGCCUUUUACCCUUAGUUCCAGGAACAAUGACUGCGAUGCGCACCCACAUGCGUCUCUCAUAUGGCAUUAGAGGUACUAUAUGCAAUGAUGGUCUCUUGCUGUGUUUCUGUGGAUGGUGCGAGUUGUGUAGAAUGGCUCGGGAAAUAAAACGCCAGCAAGGUUAAGCUGAAAGGAUUCAAACACAGGAUGUGACAACAGAAAGCGACAUAAUCAUAAAAGUGCAAAAUCUAUUUACUAUAUGAAGUGAUUUGUAUAACAAAAUAUGAAAUUGUGAAUAACACAAAACUCAUUCAAAACAAUUGUAUUUCUUGUAUAAAACAUUGGCAAAUCAUACUGUUACAACUGACCUGUCUGCCUACAUUCUUUUCUCUUAUUUUUCUCUUAUUUAAAUGUUGCUAAAUUGUAUAACUAAUAGUAUACAGUAAAAAUAACGUUGCAGUAUUCAGCAUCUGGGGGGAAAUAAAAACUAUUGACAAUC
Pseudophryne corroboree (corroboree frog) is the source of this 678-nucleotide long non-coding RNA. RefSeq lists it as uncharacterized. The record is from RefSeq and is a predicted model, not a curated record. Lineage: Eukaryota; Metazoa; Chordata; Amphibia; Anura; Myobatrachidae. The transcript has 5 exons.